Molecule: long non-coding RNA, 1676 nt
Organism: Betta splendens (Siamese fighting fish)
Lineage: Eukaryota; Metazoa; Chordata; Actinopteri; Anabantiformes; Osphronemidae
Exons: 3
Source: RefSeq, a predicted model, not a curated record
UGUGUAUGAUUGUUGCGUAGCCCUGACCUUGUGUUAGCCCGUGGAUCUUUCUGCCUUUGACCGCCGAUUGCCUGAACCUUGCCUGUACCUGAAUCCUGCCAGCUGUGUACCGACCUUUGUGCUGGACUGCGAACGCAUUAAAACCCAAACCCAAAGUCAAGGCUCCGCUGUGCAUGUGGGUCUGUCGCCUUUUCCCCCGUGAAGGAAGUUAAUUAUCUUACUCACAGGUUAAAGUCAGCUUCAUUAGCCACAAAACGCCCGACACACAGGUCUGUGAGGCUGCAGUGCUCGGUCCCGGCGUUGGAUGAAGUGAGACCUGGGCUCAGUCACACUGUGGUGCAGGACGUUUAGAUGGAGCCAAAGUUCGACAUCAGGGCUUCCUGGUGUUAGAGGAGCUCGUUACAGACGAGCCCGCGCGUCAGCCUCAGCUUCCUUCUGCUUGUCUUGGUCUGAACAGCUUCUGUUGAUUGGCUCAUGUGGCUCAGACUGAUGGAGUUUCACUGACAUCUAUUGGUCAAGCAUCAGAACUGCAGAACCUUUAAUGAAGAAUGUGAUGCUUCAGCUCAAACCCAAACCUCCAAACAGAAGAAUUCAUUGUCUUCAGCAGUAAAGCUUCCUAUAUGAAUAUAUACAUUUCAAACUGUACUAUAGAGCAUUUAUUCUAAAACAUGAGCUCAGACAUGAAUUUCCUUUUGCAUUUGAUUGAUUUUUCAGAUUUAUUUUAUCCUCAAACAGCUGAUGUUGCUGCUACUGUGGCUACAACAACAACAAACAAACAACAAAUUUGGUGUUUAAACUGUGAAAAGUAUUAACUUGGGUACAUUGUUUGGGACAUCUGCAUGAAGGAACUCCCAGCUUUGGUUUAAGUCUAAGAUGUGGACUCCCCGUAAUGACUGGACCUGGACUGUUAAAGCUUAAGAAGAAGAAAAUAUGCAAAAAAAACUAAAUCACACUGAACAAAAAGUCACAACAGGCACAAAGACUUUGUGGAAACGCUGGAGAUGAAGCUGCAGUUAUGAACGAGGUCGGUGUUCACCAAUGUGGCACAAUUUAAUUUGUGCGGCAGGAACUGCACGGCUGCGAUAGACUCGGUAAUGAAACCUCUCAGCUUUAACUUCUGUCUACUUUAUAUUCACAAAGAGAAACGAGCGAAGCAGCCAUCGCGAAGACAUGCAAAUACACUGAUCUCUUUAAUACGAGCUUCACCCAAUUGGACGGAGACUUUGACAAGCAGAACAAAUGCCCUGCGAGCACAAACACGUUGAGGUCAGGAGGAGCGGCGCCGAUGGCCGACGCGCAAACGUUCUUUAUCCUCUUUUCAGCGCUGGCAGUCACAUUCUGCCUGUUCGCUUGCUGUUAAAUUAGUCAUCUGAGAUUAGAGACGCUUUGAGAGGAAAACUUUCAGAAAAACUUGAUAAAACUCCACUUUAAUUUAGCAUAUGUUCAAUAUACAUAAAGCUGGUGGAGGAGAGCGUGUCCAAGAGUGUGUGCAGUUUAACAGAAAGACAACACACUUGUCUCUUAAUCCAACUUUUGAGCAGCUGCUGUGUCAGAACACAAAUUCAUGCUUUUAUUAGUGACAUAAAAUCAGUCCAAACUGAGCUUCAGUGGGUUUGGGGAAAAUGCAUGUGGUCUAAGUUCAUAUUAAACUGCUGGAUACAGCGCAUCUCCAUCCA